UGGGGUAUAGCCAAGUUGGUAAGGCAAUAGAUUUUGAUUCUAUCAUUCCAUGGUUCGAGUCCAUGUACCCCAUCCA
Molecule: transfer RNA, 76 nt
Filed under: Pseudobdellovibrionaceae bacterium
Lineage: Bacteria; Pseudomonadati; Bdellovibrionota; Bdellovibrionia; Bdellovibrionales; Pseudobdellovibrionaceae
Also listed under: 2 other names
Description: Bdellovibrionaceae bacterium (activated sludge metagenome) tRNA-Gln
Rfam family: tRNA
About the family: Transfer RNA (tRNA) molecules are approximately 80 nucleotides in length. Their secondary structure includes four short double-helical elements and three loops (D, anti-codon, and T loops).
Source: RNAcentral